This is a small nuclear RNA of Pongo abelii (Sumatran orangutan), 107 nucleotides long. The record is from Ensembl. Lineage: Eukaryota; Metazoa; Chordata; Mammalia; Primates; Hominidae.
GCGCUUGCUUUGGUAGCACAUACACUAAAAUUGGAACAAUAUAGAGAAGAUUAGCAUGGCCCCUGGGCAAGGAUGACACACAAGUUCGUGAAGUGUUCCAUAUUUUU